RNAcentral lists this ribosomal RNA (372 nucleotides) under uncultured bacterium. Its description in RNAcentral is "bacterial SSU rRNA". It matches the Rfam family "Bacterial small subunit ribosomal RNA", at positions 29 to 374 of the family's 1533-position model. The record is from RNAcentral.
AACGAACGCUGGCGGCGUGGAUAAGACAUGCAAGUCGAACGGAAUAUCCUUUGUAGCAAUACAAAGGAUGUUCAGUGGCGUAAGGGUGCGUAACACGUGGGCAAUCUACCGAGAAGUGGGGGAUAGCUCGCCGAAAGGCGAAUUAAUACCGCAUGUGGUUAGCGAAGACAUCUUCGCGACACUAAAGCCGGGGACCAUAGCAAUAUGGCCUGGCGCUUCUUGAUGAGCCCGCGGCCUAUCAGCUUGUUGGUGGGGUAACGGCCCACCAAGGCGAUGACGGGUAGCUGGUCUGAGAGGACGACCAGCCACACUGGAACUGAGACACGGUCCAGACACCUACGGGUGGCAGCAGUCGAGAAUUUUUCUCAAUGG